RNAcentral lists this long non-coding RNA (691 nucleotides) under Equus caballus (horse). Its description in RNAcentral is "lncRNA (ENSECAG00000053515.1)". Lineage: Eukaryota; Metazoa; Chordata; Mammalia; Perissodactyla; Equidae. The record is from RNAcentral.
GGAAGACCAAGUAGGAGGCAAUUGCAAUGAUCCAAACCGAGAGAUUGUGGUGGUUUGGACCAAGAGGGUAGCAACGGAGGUAGUGAGAAGUGGAUCAACUCGGAAAAUGGUUUGAAGGUCCAACCCAGUCUCCUGUUAUGUGUGGAGUGGCACUCAGUGAAUGUCAGUGGGAGAGGCUGGGCUGCUUGUCCAAACAAGCCCGGGAGGAAGGCAGGACCAGAAGGGGGGGGGUCAUCAAUGGCAUUCCUGACGUUGGCUGGUAGUUCUGUCAUAUACUUCCACCUAUCACAAGGAAAACCAGAGCAUAAGCAGGAACUGCUAUUCUUUGAGUCAUGAGCUGGAAACAUCCACAUCAUCUUUGACGUUCUCGAGGACUUCAUCUCUUGCCUGAUGCAUUGCUGCUGCACCAGGCUCUGUCUCCUCAGUCUCGCCUCCCAGGCUUUAUUUACAGAUCAACCAUCUCGAAUCACAUCUCUGAUCACACUCUCCUCAAAUGUCUCUACUGAAUAAAGCUCAAGCUAUUUAACUUGGAUAAAGGACCUCCUUGUCCUCUUCUCAGUCUUAGGCUCCAAGUCCACGCCCCUUCACAUCCAUCACUCUUGUUGACCUCCUGAGUUUUUUGCUCAUGCUGGUUCCCCCCCACCCUUCUCUACAUACCGAAUCCUCUUCAUAAUUCAAGGCCCAAUUCAAG